GACGAACGCUGGCGGCGUGCCUAAUACAUGCAAGUCGAACGCAGUUUCGAACGGGUGAGUAACGUGUAGGUAACUGCCUCAUAGCGGGGGAUAACCAUUUGAAACGAUAGCCAAUACCGCAUACUUUGACCUGGACCUGCGUUGCAUUAGCUUGUUGGUGGGGUAAAGGUCCACCAAGGCGCCGAUACAUAGCCGACCUGGGAGGGUAAUCGGCCAACCUGGGAAUGGGAAACGGGCCAGACUCCUACGGGAAGGAGCAGUAGGGGAACAUCGGAAAUGGGCGGAAGUCUGACCGAGCAACGCCGCGGGAGUGGAGAAAGGUUUCGGGUCGGAAAACUCUGUUGUUAGAGAAGCGGUAACUAACCAGAAAGGAACGGCUAACUACGUGCCAGCAGCCGCGGUAAUAC
Molecule: ribosomal RNA, 407 nt
Filed under: uncultured bacterium
Lineage: Bacteria
Description: partial 16S ribosomal RNA
Rfam family: Bacterial small subunit ribosomal RNA
Source: RNAcentral